GGGGAUUUAGCUCAGUGAUAGAGCGCUUGCCUAGCAAGCACAAGGCCCUGGGUUCGGUCCCCAGCCCCG
Rattus norvegicus (Norway rat) is the source of this 69-nucleotide non-coding RNA. The record is from Rfam. Lineage: Eukaryota; Metazoa; Chordata; Mammalia; Rodentia; Muridae.